GUAUGUUUUUGGGAGCAGUCCACCUUGUUCUGUUGUCCAGAAAAUGUCACUUAGCUUCAUCCCUGCAGGGAGUAUUUCUACAGUUAACAAGAGAUAAAACAAGGGCUUUUUGAUCAAAGAAGUGGAAGGACCUGGAUAAACAAUUUGAAAAAGGAGCAGAAAAAAAAAAGUCACAGGAUAAGGUCAUUUUCACUGCAUUUCAGUGUUCUGCCGAUUCUGGACUGAGGAUUAAUCUCUUUCUUCUAACUGGAUUAAUGCCACUGAGUCAAACC
Molecule: long non-coding RNA, 272 nt
Organism: Pipra filicauda (Wire-tailed manakin)
Lineage: Eukaryota; Metazoa; Chordata; Aves; Passeriformes; Pipridae
Exons: 3
Source: RefSeq, a predicted model, not a curated record